Oryctolagus cuniculus (rabbit) is the source of this 11991-nucleotide non-coding RNA. The record is from RefSeq and is a predicted model, not a curated record. Lineage: Eukaryota; Metazoa; Chordata; Mammalia; Lagomorpha; Leporidae.
CGGAAGGGCGAGGACUAGCGGGUAUCGCGAGAGCAGGCGGGUGGCGAGGUGCUUCCCGGCGCUUCCAGUGUAGGUGUAUUUGCGCGUGGGAGUUUAAGGUAGGCUUCACUCCUUAGCUUCUGGUGUCGACCAACUAAGAUUAAGAAAAGCCCCUUUCCCAACUCUAACACCUUGGUACAGGUUUCAUACCUCUUACUUGAAACCCUUGGCUUCACCUAGGAUAGAGAAACGGCUUCAGAGAAGCAGAACCAAAAGACUAUAAAUAGCUACGUACAAAGAGACUUACCCUGAGGGAUUGAGUGGCUCGGGUGAUUGUGCAGAUUUGUUGUCCGAAAGCUGGAGACCCAGGAAAGAUGGGGAUGUAGUUCCAAUCCAGACUCCAAGGCCUGAGCCCAGGGAAGCUAGUGUUGUGAAUCUUAGUCCGAGUGUGCAGUCCUGACAAGGAAUUCGGAAAAGAUGGAUAUCUCAGUUGUCUGAAAGACUGAUUGGAUGAUGCCCACCCACAUCAAUGAGGGUGAUCUUAGUUUACUGAUUCAAAUGCUAAUGUCAUUUAGAAACAGCCUCACUGACCUAGCAUCUGAGCAUCCCGUAACAGUCAAAAUGACACAGCAAAUUAAUUAUCAGCAUUUUUCAGGGGAGCCCAUGCAGAUGGCUUGCAGAGUGGUGGCUCAGUCACACUGGAGCAGGGCAGAAGACUAAAUGGGAUGUCACCAAGAAAAAAAAAAUGAAAUUUGCAAUUCACCAAUGUGGAUGACCAUUUUUAAAAAUUUUUAUUUUCUUUAUUUGAAGACAGAGCGACACAGGGAGAGAGAGAGUUCUUCUUCCUGCUGGUUCACUAUCCCAAGAAGGCCAGAACUUCAUCUGGGUUUCCCACAACUUCAUAUGGGUGACAAGGAUCCAAGUUCUUAUGCUAGCAUCUUCUGACUGCCCAGAUGUAUUAGCAGGAAGCUAGAUGGGAGGUAGAGCAGCCAGGACUCUCCUCAGCCAGUGCUCAUAGAUCCGAUACAGGUGUCAAGCUGUGCCCCAAUGCCUGUCCCUUGGCCAUGAUUAUUUUUAAAGUUUUGUUUGUUUAGUUAUUUGAAAAGUUAAGUGACAAAAAGAUUUUUUUGCCCUCUAGUUUACUCCUUAAAUGCCCACAACUGCCAGGGCUGAGCCAGGCCAAAGCCUGGAGACAGAACUCAAUCCAGGGCUCUCACAUGGGUGGCAGGGACCCAAGUAAUUGAGCGAUCAUCUACUGCUUACUAGGCGCAUUAGGAGGAAACUGGAUCCCAGGCACUCUAAUAUGGGGUACAGUGUCCCAAACAGCUUGCUCCAUGGGUGACCAUAUUGAUACCACACAAACAGUUUUAGUGGAGAGUUCAGGGAAGAACUGGUGACAAGCACAUAGAAACUUAAGCAAAUGGGGGUAAAUGAAAUAAUUAUUAAUACUAAAAAUCUAAAAUGUUGGAUGAGGAAGGAAAUAUAGAAUACAAAAUAGAUUAACUGCAUACCACAAAGUGAUGGAAAGUACAGAGGGUGAUAAAACACUUUAUUUUUAUUUAGUUGUAAACCUUGUAAUGCUAUUUGAUGUUUUAAAAGAAUAAAUUUUAAUAAAAAUGAAACGUAAUGAUAAAAUUAAUAACCAGAAUAUUGUAUAGUGUUUAAUAUAUUUUGAAAUCUUCAACUUUUAUUAGCCUUGUAUGUAUUUAUUUAAGAUUUAUUUAUGGGGCCAGCUCCAUGGCACAGUAGGUUAAUCCUCUGCCUGCGGCACCGGCAUCCCAUAUGGGCGCUGGGCGCUGGGUCUAGUCCCAGCUGCUCCUCUUCCGAUUCAGCUCUCUGCUGUGGCCUGGGAAAGCAGUAGAAGAUGGCCCAAGUCCCUGGGCCCUUGCACCACAUGGGAGACCUGGAAGAAGUUCCUGGCUCCUGGCUUCGGAUUGGCACACCUCCGGCCAUUGUGGCCACCUGAGGAGUGAACCAAUGGACGGAAGACCUUUCUGUCUGUCUCCCUCUCACUGUAACUCUAUCUCUCAAAUAAAUAAAUAAAAUCUUAAAAAAAAAAAAAAAAGAGAUUUUUCCAUCUGCUGGUUCAGUGCCCAAAUGGCCACAAAGAGACUGGAACUUUAUUCAGGUUUCCCACUUUAGGAGACAGGGGCCCCUGCACCUGCAUGGGAGACCAGGAGAAGGCACCUGGCUCCUGUCUUCGGAUCGGUGCAGCGCCGGCCGUAGGCGGCCAUUUUGGGGGGUUAACCAACGGAGGGAAGACCUUUCUCUCUCUGUCUCUCUCUCUCACUGUCUGUAAACUCUGCCUGUCAAAUAAAAAAUAAAAAUAUCUUAAAAAAAAAAAAAAAAGAGAGACAGGGGCCCAAGUACUUGGUCUACUUACUCUCUUCCCAAGCACAUCAAUAGGGAACUGGGUUAGAAGUGGAGUAGCAAGGACUUGAAUCAGUGUUCCAAUGUGGGAUGCCCAUUUCUCAAGUGGUAGCUUAACUCACUGAGCCACAACAUCAGCCACAGCCUUGUAUUUUCAAUUUGAAAUGUUUGCUUUCGGGAUUUGGACAUAAAGGAUAUUAAAAAUCUUGACUGCAAAAACUAUGUGAAUGUUUGAAAGCACAGACUUACUAGGUUUGAAGUAAUUUUUAGUUAUUAAACAAUUUUCAUUUGUUAGAUUUAUUAAUUUGCAUUAUCAGAUGUUUGAAUCCUAGGAACUGUAGUCAUUCCAUGGGUUUGCUACCUUUGAUUGAAUACUCAGCUCUGGUUCCAUCAACUGUGCGUUAUGGAAUAGAGGUAAUGAUUAACCUAGGGCUCUGAUAGGACUGUGGGCAGAACAUCUUCCUUUAGAAAGGGCUGAGCAUUGGGACUAGUGCUGUGGCAUAGUGGGUUGGCAUAUCAUAUGGGUGCCAGUUUAAGUCUAGGCUGUUCCACUUCUGAUUCAGCUUCCUGCUAAUGUGCCUGGGGAAGCAGUGAAAGAAAGCUCAGAUCCUUGGGCCUCUGCACCUACAUGUGAGACCUGGGUAAAGCUCCUGGCUCUUGGCUUCAGCCUGGCUCAGCCCUAGCUGUUGUGGCCAUUUCAGGAGUGAACCAGCAGUUGGAAGACCUCUCUCUGCCUCUCCCUCUCUGUAACUCUUUCAAAUAAACAAAUUAAUCUUUUAAAAAAAAUGAAAUGAAAUAAAGGCUGGGCAUGGCAGACAAUGCAUUUGGUGUAUGUAGUAAAAUAUAUUACGUAUAUAUUUGGGGAAGACCUUUCAGUUUCCAUAGGAGUAGCAACUGGACGUGGGAAAGCACUGAAGUAAAUGUCAGAAGCUCUGGUUUCUAAUCAUAGCAGGGCCACCAUGUGAUAGUGUGAUCUUGAGAAUAUCAGUCUUGCUCUAGACCUGUUUCCUCAUCUGUCAACACCACUGAAUAAGGUCUGUACAUGAAAAUUACUUAACCAUAAUUAAUUACUGUACUCAUACAGUAAGUAAUAUAGCAUAUAUUUAUUUAAAUACAAAUUCCCUUGAGCUUCAUAGAUUUAAUAAACCAGAAUCUGUGAAAAGGCCCUGGGAAUCUACAUUUGAAAACUUUCUUGUGAUUCUAACUCAGCCAGCCUGACCUGUGUUUGGGGUUCAAAAUGUGAUUGUUAGGGUCUCUUCCUCCUAAAAUUCUUUUUCUUCGCAAAACUGCAGAGAUGUGUUAUUGAGGGAAUUAUUUCCAUUAUAAAAAGAUAAAGUGUCCUUGCAUAAAGGGCAACAUUUCUAGCUGAUUUUAAAAUUCAUGUCAGGGGCCAACAUUGUGGUAGAGCAGGUGAGCCUGCUGCCUUGGAGUGCUGGUUUGAGUCCUGGCUGUUCUACUCAGGUCCAGCUCCCUGCUAAUGCAACUGGGAAAGUAGUGGAAGAUGGCCCAAAUACUUGAGCCCCUUUCACCCAUGUGGAUGACCCGAUGGAGUUCCUGGCUCCCAACUUAAGCCUGGCCCAGCCCUGACCAGUGUGGCAAUUUGGGGAGUGAAGUAGUGAAUGGAAGAACUCUCUCGCUUUCUGUCUCUCUCUCCUUUUCUCUCCUCUACGCUCUGUCACUCUGCCUUUCAAAUAAGUAAACACAUAAAUCUUAAAAUUAAUGUUAUAAUUAUGAGGUGUAGGUAAGGAAGAAAAAAGUUUUAGGAGCUACUUUGGGAAGGAAAAUAUGGUUCUAAUUAGCAAUCCACUUAUACUCAACAUAUAAAAUAUUAAAGAAUCAACUAUUAUAUAAUGAAAAAUCCCCAAAAUGUUUCCCCCUAACUGGUAAGUCCCAGAAUAUUAAACUUGGGAGACAUCUAGAAGUCCAAUUCCUUCACUUGACAAAAGAGAAAAUGGAGUGGUAUCCUAUAUCUCAAAGAAGACUAUUAGCACAAAGGAGGGAGAAGUGCUUUUGCCUUUAUGCCUAUGCCAGGUUAUUAAAUCACUGUGUCUCUUAAUUAAGAAUUGCUCUUCCUGUGGAAGCACCCUUCACCUGUUGCUUCCUCACUUUACUUCCUGCCACAGAUGAAGAGGAACUUUCAGAUUAGAACAGGAAGGUUGCGUCCAGACAAAUCCCAGUGAAAGCCAGCUCAACCACUCAUGGUCCAAAAUCUGUAUUAUUGAAGAGUUCUCCAGAGAAACAGAAGUAAUUAUAUAUAACUUGGAAUUAGUUCAUAUGAUUAUGGAGGCUAAGAAGUCCCACCAUCUUCUGUUUGCAAGCUGGAUAACUAAGGAAAAUCCGUGACACAAUUCAGUUCAAGACCUGAGAACAAGAGAUCUGAUGACACAACUCAAUCUGAGUCCAAAGAAAGGCAAUCAGUUAUCUUAGGUUAAGUCACUCAGUCUAUUCCACAGCCCAUUCUAAGAAGAAAUGGCACCCAUCUUCUGUGAGGUGAUAAUGAGUCCAGGUAACAAGUUUUAUUUCACCAUGACCUCAAUACUACUUUCCUUCCUCCACCCACAACAUGUGGUUGGUUGGGCCAGGGACUGUUUGUUUAUUUAUUUAUUUAUUUCUUAUUUUUAUUUUUGACAGGCAGAGUGGACAGUGAGAGAGAGAGACAGAGAGAAAGGUCCUCCUCUGCUGUUGGUUCACCCUCCAAUGGCCACCGCGGCCGGCGCGCUGCGGCCAGCACACCGCACUGAUCUGAAGGCAGGAGCCAGGUGCUUCUCCUGGUCUCCCAUGGGGUGCAGGGCCCAAGUACUUGGGCCAUUCUCCACUUCACUCCCUGGCCACAACAGAGAGCCAGCCUGGAAGAGGGGCAACCAGGACAGAAUCUGGCACCCCAACUGGGACUAGAACCCGGUGUGCCGGCGCCGCAAGGCAGAGGAUUAGCCUAGUGAGCCACGGCGCCGGCCGGGACUGUUGUUUUAAUGAAAGGAAUCCAAUCAGAAAGUUGGUCAGAGGUACCAUCAACCUUGCAUUUAAAUAUGAACUUGACCUCUGAGAUACUCAGCAGACUCAUAGAAUGGCAGAUGUCCUAAAUAGCACUCUGGCCUCAGAAUCAGCCCUAAAGGCAUUCGGAUCUGGCUGAAAAGCCCAUGAGAGUAUUUCAGGCAUGGAAAGCCAAGACACUCUGGCAAAAGAUCUCUGUGAGUGAGAUCUCAGUGGAAAGAACAGGUCUUCAAAGAAGGAGGUACCUUUCUCUGAAGGGAGGAGAGAACCUCCACUUUGACUAUGACCUUGUCUAAACAAGAUAAGAAUCGGAGAACUCAGAGGGCUUCCAUAGCCUUGGAAACUCAUGACUGGAGCAUAGGGAGAUUACUGAUGCCAUAGACAGGAGUGUCAAUUGGUAAAGUCAACAACAGGAGUCACUGUGCACUUACUCCUCAUGUAGGAUCUCUGUCCUUAAUGUGCUGUGCAUUGAGAUUUAAUGCUAUAACGAGUACUCAAACAAUAUAUUUCACUUUGUGUUUCUAUGGGGGUGCAAACUGUUGAAAUCUCUACUUAAUGCAUACUAAACUGAUCCUCUGUAAAAAAAAAAAAAAAAAAAGAAAUUAUCAACUCCCAACUUGACUCUCACUGGGAUUAAACAUGACAAUAGGUCUGAUCUGAUUUCAUCAUCAUUUAAGAAAAAUCAUCUAUUAUUUUUCACUUUAUGUUUCUGUGUGGGAGCAAACUGUUGAAAUCCUUACUUAAUGUAUACUAAGCUGAUCUUCUGUAUAUUAAGAUAAUCGAAAAUGAAUCUUGAUGUGAAUGGAAGGGGAGAGGGAGUGGGAAAGGGGAGGGUUGUGGGUGGGAGGGACGGUAUGGGGGGGAAGCCAUUGUAAUCCAUAAAUCGUACUUUGGAAAUUUAUAUUCAUUAAAUAAAAGUUAAAAAAAAAUAUGAACUUGACCUCCUCAAUUUAUUUUUUCAAGAAAGUACUAGAGAAUAUUCUUAUUUUAAUAAUGAGAGUUGAAGGUAGAAGUAAACAAUGAGGAGGGGUAGUAACCAGCCAUUUGCUAAAAACAGGGGAAAAAAAAGUAUAAGAAUAUGAGUAAGCUGAGGAAAUGAGAGCUAAAGAGAGAUUGAACAGAUGCAGGAGAAAGUUGGGAGUGCUCAUGUGACUAAUGAGAGAGCUAUUUUAAUUCAUGAUGGCUUUCCAAACCAUGCGCCAAACUCUACACCUCCAUUUUUUUUCUGUAGGAAAUUGAGUCUUUUUGUUAAUUAUAUGAUUCUGGCUGCAAGUGAAGAAAAUCCAACUGAAGGCAGUUUAUACUAGUGAUAUUUAUUUUUUCACAUAACAUGAAGUCUGAAGACCUAGAUGGCUUCAGGAUCGUUCAAUGGUAUCAUCAGGGGUAUAGUUCAUUUAUUUUUUUUAAAAGAUUUAUUUAUGUAUUGGAAAGUCAGAGUUACACAAAGAGAAGGAGAGGCAGAGAGAGAGAGAGAGAGAGAGAAAGAUCUUCCAUCUGUUGGUUCACUCCCCAGUUGGCUGCAAUGGCCAUAGAUGUGCUGAUCUGAAGCCAGGAGCCAGGAGCCUCCUCCAGGUCUCCCACGUAGGUGCAGGGGCCCCAGGGCUUGGGCCAUCCUCCACUGCUUUCCCAGGCCAUAUCAGAGAGCCAUAUGAGAGGUGGAGCAGCUGGAUCAUGAGCUGGUGCUCAUAUGGGAUGCCGGCACAGCAGGCGGUAGCUUUACCCACUAAACCAAAGGGCCGGUCCCACAGUGUCAUUAUAUACCUUUUCUAUUUGAUAUAUUCAACAUUUUGGCUUUUUAAAAAAAUUUAUAUAUUUAUAUAAAUAUAUAUGUUUUAUAUAUUUAUGUAUUUACUUAUAUAUUUAUUUCAAAUGCAGACUUACAUUAUAUUUUGUAUAUUUAUAUAUAAUAUAUAAUUUAGUAUCAAGAAUGAUACUAAAUGAUAAUAAAUUACAUAUAUAUUUUAUAUAUUUAUAUAUUUAUUUCAAAUGCAGACUUACAGAGAGAGAAGAAGAAUCAGAGAGAGAUAGAGAUUUUCUAUCUACUGGUUCAUUCUCCAGAUGGCCACAAUGGCCAGCGAUGGACCAGGCAGAAGCCAGGAGCCAGGAGAUUCAUCUGGGUCUCCCACAUUGGUGGCAGGGGCCCAAACACUUUGGUCAUCCUCCACUGCUUUUCCCAUCCGUUAGCAGGGAGCUGGCUUGGAAGCAGAGUAGCAGGGACACAAAUUGGUGCCCAUAUGAGAUGCUACCCUCACAGGCAGCAGCUUUAUCUGCUUCACCGUGAAUGUUGGCCCCAACAUUUUGGCUUUUGACUAAGGCAUAUUUCUUCAUGGAUGUCAUGCGCCUUUAGCAGCUCCAUUAUCAGCUUUAUCUUCUUGGAGAUAUAUCUCUUACAAUCUCCUGACUUGUGCCAAUAUGAGCUGGUUUUUCGCCUUAGUCCUGUGGCUUUCCUGUCAUCCUGAGGUUCUUCAUGCUAGAGCUAGUUCUUUUUCUUAUGGUGAAUCCCUUGCUUUUGGAUUUCUUGUUUUCAAGUUUCUUUUUUUUUUCUUUAUUUUGAUGGAGUGCAUCCUCCAAUAGUUUUCUGAGAUAGGGUAUAUGGAAGGUAAAUGUUUUGAAUAGUUGAAAACAUAUUUGAUCCUUAUAUUUUAUUGAUAGGAUUGGUAUAGAUUGUUAUUCCACUCAGAAGUCUGAUGCAUUGCUCUACAACCUCUCUACUUCUAAUGCUACUGUAGAAAAAUCUGAUGCCAUUGUGGUUCUUGAUCCUUAAUAAGUAAUAUAACUGCCCAACCUUUAAUUUUUGAAAUUUCAUAGUAUAUAUCUUUUAGUAAUUUCAUCCUGCAAUAAGGAUCAUAAAUAGAGUGGCUUAUAAACAGCUUAAAUGUUGUCUCACAGUGCUGAAGAUUGAAAAGUCCAAGAUCAAGGCAGCAUCAGACUCAACAUCUGGUAAAGGUGUUCAGGCUCCUAGACAGUGCCUUCUACCUCUGUUGGGUGGUAGAAAAGGUGAGCUAGCUCACUGGGCUGUCUAGUGAGAUGAGUGGACUAAUCUCAUUUAUGAGGGUAAAAUGAAAAUGACCUAGGAAUCUCCCAAGGUUCCAUUUACUCAUAUUAUAUCCUUGGUGCCUAGGUAAAUGUAUGAAUGGAGGGUGCAGGUGAACAUAAAAUUUAGACCACAGAAGUGCCUUAGUGUGGAUCUAUUUUUAUUCAUGUGUUUGGUACUCAGUAGAUGGAAUUUUAUGAUCUACAGCACUGGAAAUUUUUAAAAAAUUGAUUAUAUUCUUUUUUCCAUGGUUUCUUUAUGAUUUUUCAUUAUGUUUUCUAGAAAUUCCAUUAUUUCAAUACUAAGUCUUUUUUGUUACAAUAUUUGCUUUCCUACAUCCACAUUUUCCCAUUCUUUUUGUUCUAUUUUUGGGGAGAGAUUCAUCAGAUUUAUCUUCCAGUCUUUUCAUUGAAAAUUUUUUAUUUUUGAUAGCUCUUUUCUUUUCUUUCAAAUUCUCUCCUAUCCUUUUUAUAAAAAUAGAAACUUAUUUUAUUUUAUGGAUGCAAUGAAGACAUUGAUUUCCCUGAAGUUUUCUUCUCCCUGUGUCAUAACUGUAUUCACAGUUGCUUUUCUAUAUGUCUUUUGGACUGUGCCCAUUGUGUUAGAGCUUCUCUUAAAUGAUUAAAUGUUAGAGCCUCUCUUAUAAUCCUUUAAGAGAGGAAUCCUUAAUAACAUGACCUUUAAUUUUUUUUCUUGGACAGGACAGAUUAUCAGGAGAAGACUCUCCAGUCUCCUUCCUGAUGUCUUGGUUUCUUGAAUUAUCCUUUCACGUCAUGGGGCUUGUAAGGCGCUUGCUGCCAAAGGAGCCGGAAGGUUCCCUGCUUCUACCAGCUGAGGGCUAAAGAAGCUUCUGCUGUAAGCCUGCAUGUUCCACUAUCAUCCUUUAGAUAAAGAACUGAUGGUUGCUCUCCCUGGGAUCUCCCACUUCUUUGGAGAACAGCUAUCGCAAUGGGCUUCAAAUUAAUCAACGAUCUUCCCAAAAUCAAGUUGGCAACAUUUAAAACUACCAGAUAAGUAUUUUUCAGUAUUUCUGUAGCAUCGCACUCCUAGCCCAAUCCUUUAUUUUACCUUUCCCAAUCCUUUAUUUGACUUUAUCUAUCUCACAAGACUGCUCUGAAAAGUGGGUUUCAAACUUCAUCCUAGGAUUGUAGUAGUGUACUCUGAAAAUAAGAAUUGUGUUUGUUUUUUCAGCCAUUGUCUUUUCUAGCACCUAGCACAUUUUCUAAGGCAGAAUAAGAGUCUUGUGAAUAUUUGUUGAAUCAAUGAAUGAGGUGACUCUGGUCGCUGACAAAUGUAACUAGAGAAGAAUAACAUAUCCUCUCAAAUCAGCAGCAUCAUGGUUAUCUUCUUACCAUGUUGGUGUCCCAAAAUUUACCAAUGGCCGGAGAAAAACAAUCUGGAGUGGAAAUGUCAAGAGCAAAGAUCCAGAGAAAAGGAGAGAUGAGAGAAAAAGCAUCCUGGCAGCGUCCCGCUCUGAUUUUGGACAGCCUUGUUGAUAAGAAGGUCUGUAUUUUACUGAGAUGAAAACAUCAUUCUUCAUAAUCAUCACUGUUGGCUUAUGAUUUGUCUCAACACAUGUACGUCCAAUGUUCACCCAGCACUCACCAAAGCAACACUUGACACCAAGACUUCAAAAAUUAGAUCAGGUAAUGUUGAUGACAUAGAGGUUUAUAUUUCCAGGGAGACUAAUCCAAAUGAGUCUUUGGUGGGGGAGUGGAGAAGGGCAAAGGCUCCUGUAAGGGACUCGGAACAGCCAAGAAGCAAGAUGGCUUUGAAUGAUAGUUGAAGAUAGCAAGUGUUCCAAGACAAGCUUCACUUCUAUCCCCACUCCUUGGGUUCUCUUUCACCUGAGCAACGUGGGCAUUAGAAUUCACUGAGCUCUGGACUACUAGUUAUUAAAUCUAAGAUUUGAUCCCAGCCUAGAAUUAACUAGUUAUGUCAUCUUAAGAAGAUCAUGUAAGCUUUUCCUAUCUCAGUUUCCUCAUCUAUAAUAUUCUAUCAAUAUUGCUUAGUUUUCCCAUAUCAUAGGAUUGUGUCAAGAAUCAAAUGGGAUAAUGCACCUGAAUUUAGAAAGGAUAAGUGGUCUGAAAAAUAUAUAUCAGGUUACAUAACCUCUCCAUGCUUCCACAUUCCUUUUUUUGUCUAUUUUCUUUGCAUUAUAUAAAUACUUGUCAGCUUUUGUAUAAUGUUAAAUUUUCAUAAUUCUAAGGUGCCUCCUAUACUUUUAAAAAUAUAGUGUGGACAAAGUAUAAAUAUAUACAAAAUCAACAUUUAAUAGAUGUUUAUAAUUAUAAUCUUGGGGAAAUAUGUUAGGAGAAUUACAUGUGGAAUAUAUUAUAAAGAACAUUAUAUAGAGAAUUAUAAUAGUGAGAAUAUAUUAUAUUAGUGGUCUAGAUCUUGGCAUAAGCACUUUAAAAGUGCUGCUUUCUUUUCAAAAUGGGAAAAUCUUUUACCUUGAAAUGUGUGUUCCAAACCCAGUUCUAUAAAAAGAAACUCACCAGGAGUUGGCUGCAGAGUUGAUGUUCACAGGAUGCAACUUUGCUACCUGGAAUUGAGGCCUGUCAGUGAGCUGGUGGUAUCUACUGUGUGGUUUCUUUUUAUUCUAUUUAAAAUUGCAAUCUGUAGUCAUUUGUAAGUCAUGAUUAUUAUCGUCUGUUCCUGGCAAAAACUAUGUGAGGUGGUCUGUUAGGACUAUUCUUUUUCUGCAGUUGGUUAAACAGAAUACUGGGAGACAUGGGUGUGUAAAAUCCAAGCAGGAAGGAAAAAGACUUGGGUUCUUUGGGCAUCUGGGUCCAUACCUCUUAUUUGACCUUAAGCUAGUAAUUUUUUUUUGACAGGCAGAGUAGACAGAGAGAGAGAGAGAGAGAGAGAGAGAGAGAAAGGUCUUCCUUCCAUUGGUUCACCCCCAAAAUGGUCGCUAUGGCCAGCGUGCUGUGCUGAUCCAAAGCCAGGAGCCAGGUGCUUCUUCCUGGUCUCCCAUGCAGGUGCAGGGCCCAAGCCCUUGGGCCAUCCCCCACUGCCUUCCCGGGCCACAGCAGAGAGCUGAACUGGAAGAGAAGCAACUGGGACAGACCCCUGACGCUCCAGGCUCCAACCGGGGCUAGAGCCCGGGGUGCCGGCGCCACAGGCGGAGGAUUAGCCUAGUGAGCCACGGCGCAAGCCUGACCUUAAGCUAGUAAUUUAAGAUCGCUGAAUCCCAGUUUUCCCAUCUGUCAAGUGGGGAAAAUAAUGCCAGCUACUGAACAGCAUUGUAAUAAUAAUAAAUGUAUUAAAUUAUAUAGCCCUAAGCUUAAAACUUGGCUCAUAUUAUUGCAGUUAAUAGACUAUUCUUUACACACACCCUUUCGUUUGAGUAAAGCUGCAGCCCCAGCUUUGCUCAAAAGAAGAUAUUUUGUGUUAUAGAAAUAGGUCUGAUCUGAUUUCAUCAUCAUUUAAAAAAUCAUCUAUUAUUUUUCACUUUAUGUUUGUGUGGGAGCUAACUGUUGAAAUCUUUACUUAAUGUAUACUAAACUGAUCUUCUGUAUAUUAAGAUAAUCGAAAAUGAAUCUUGAUGUGAAUGGAAGGGGAGAGGGAGUGGGAAAGGGGAGGGUUGUGGGUGGGAGGGACGGUAUGGGGGG